GUGAUUUUGUGUCCUCCAUGCUCUUCCCCUUUGUACUUGUUUGGCUUUAUAGCUGUUUUGAUAUGAGCGUCACUGAUGAGAAUUAUAAAGACGAAACGUGCAUCUUGCGUAUUAAAUUAUAGUCCUGGUACCUUUGAAAACUAAUUGUAUCUAUGUCUAUCUUAAUCAAACUUAGUUCUGCACAAAACGUAUACUAUAAACAGUUUGUAAGGAAUGGAUGAAUACCACUGGUAUAACAGUGAGUUUCUAAGAAAUGAAUCAUAUUGCAAAUUAUUUUCAAAGACAAUCCUGUGAAGAAAACAGCAAAACCUAAAAGUAAUAUUUAAAAGAACUUAGGUGGUUAAGUUGUAAUCAAUAUAUCACUAUUACUAUAGAGUAAUUUCUUUAUGAGGCAUGAACCUUUUCACAAAACUAAGGUAUAGGCAAACUACAGUAAAUAUCUGCACUGCAGUUACAUUCUUUCUGAGUCUUCAGCAUACAAAUACUUGUCUCUGAAAUAUCUUCAGUUAGUAUGUGUCUGACCGUUCUUUCACUAGAAUUUCAUAUAACAAAAACGAAAUGUUUCUGGCACAAUUUUCUUUUAUUAUUAGUCAACAUAUGUUAUGGUGUGAUUGUAUCAUGCAAAAAAAUAGGAACGUAUAAAUUUCAAUAAAAUUUCACAUUAAUUAUAUAUAAUAUUAUUUUAACUUAUCAUAACUACAAGCAUUUACGAUUUCUUACAUUAGUUACAAUGAUUAAAACAUACUUUAUCUUAAUCAUCUUUUUCAUUCUUUUAAAAGCCAAUUUAAAAUGUCUGUAUACUUUAAGGUGGUACCCAACCAAAAUUAAUCUGGCUUGUUUAUUUUUUUUUUAAUUUUGACACAGUAUUUACUUUGACCCUUUGACACAAAUACAAAAGUUUCAAAAAAAUUGAAUGAACUGUUUAAUCAGAAAAAUUACACUGGUUAAAUAGCAGUUUGACAAAAAACUUAUUUUUAUCAUUGAGACGCUUAGUUUUCCCUUAACAACACAACUUCAUUAAAACGUUAUGCUGAUUUUACAGAGUUAUCUCCCUGUAGUGUUAGGUACCACCUUAAAUUCACAGUUCAAUACAUUAUUUUAUAAAACACUUAUCAUGUUUGCUCAGAGCAAAUGUUUGAGAAACCAAAAAUUAUGUAAACAUUGACAAAAAUAAUCAAAAUAAGCCUCCUAUUUGUAAUCAUUAAAAGUGUUUCAACUUUAAUUUACCUUUUUAUUAUUUUAGAAGAUUCUAUACUCCAUUCAUCAGUUCCAUUAAAUAAUAAAGUAUUUACAAUCGAACAAUUGUUUUAAGAGAACUAAAGAUGUAACAAAAACAGACAGAAUUAAACUAGGAGGCAAUAUUGAACAGUAUACAUUUUGUUAAUUAAUAGACAAUAGAUAAGGCUGAGUUGUUUUUAUAACAUACAUGUACAACCAUUGUAUUGACUGAAUAACCCAUUUUGAGAUCAUUAGUGAUGACACAUGUUUUGCACCUCUAACUUUCUUAUUGUUUUUUUAUAAUUUUUCACUCUUUUUCAAAUCUCAACAUGUCAUGUGAAUUUUGUCAAUAUUGGUGGAAACAAAGAUGUCAGCACAAAUAAUCAAAGAAAGUCAAGCAAUUUAUUUGCUAUAUCAGAGAUUUCUUCAUCCUUAAAAUAUAAUACAGAAUAUACUAAUGGUCUAGUAUAACAUGUACAUUGCCAUAGAUCCCAUUUUCAUUAUCUACAGCGAGAUUUUUUAUAAAGACUUUGUAAUGUUCUUGAUUGUGACAUUUGCCAACUAGCCAUAACUUUGGAAUAGACUGUUAUCAUAUUAAUAAUCAACUUUUGACGGUGGAGUUUAUAAUUUUUCAACAGCUAACCUACACUGUGGUUGGCUAUUUUGUUUAAGUUUUACUAUCAGUGCAAUUUGGGGAAACAAUUAUUAGUUUUCCAAUAAUUCGUUGGUCUUAUAUAGAAAACAUAAAACAGUGAAUUAUUUCCCCAAAUUGCACCCAUUAUGAAAUUUAUUUUACCUCUUUCAGUUGUUCUUGCUUGAACAAGUACCAGAAUGUCCUUUCAGAGAAGGAUACUUGUCAAUUAUUUUUUUUACUCUGUAGUCAAUGGUCAGUUUUAUGAAAAUAGCCUAUACCUAUUGAAUAAAAGAUAAUUCUAACACAGAGGUAGAUGCUGAUCUCCUCAAUUUCUUCUAUGUUUGUCUGUUUCAGAUGAUAUCAACAUUUACUAUUUACCAAAAUUUCUUCUAAAAGUUUGUGCAGCACUUUUUCAUUUUUUUCACGAUUUUGGGGGGAUGAAAAGGGGGUGCAUGCUAUACCUACUAUACAUAACUGCAUACUAUACAUGGUCGAUAAAGUACAUAAUCCUUAUGCAAAUAAUAAUACAAUGUUCCCAAGUAUUAUAACAACAAUUUGUAGAAAUAGAAGUAUAUAAAUAAAAAUCUUUAAAAUAGAAAUAAUUCAAUAAAACAUGCACUGACAAACUAAACAUACAUAAUCUCAGUCAGGUUUAUAAUGUAUAUUAGAAAAUUCUGUAGCAUCUACAAAUCUGUA
This 2548-nucleotide long non-coding RNA is filed under the name Mytilus galloprovincialis (Mediterranean mussel). The record is from RNAcentral. Lineage: Eukaryota; Metazoa; Mollusca; Bivalvia; Mytilida; Mytilidae.